This 253-nucleotide ribosomal RNA is filed under the name uncultured bacterium. Its description in RNAcentral is "partial 16S ribosomal RNA". It matches the Rfam family "Bacterial small subunit ribosomal RNA", at positions 524 to 776 of the family's 1533-position model. The record is from RNAcentral.
GACGUAGGUGGCGAACGUUAUCCGGAAUCAUUGGGCGUAAAGGGUGCGUAGAUGGCAUGAUAAGUUAUUAGUGGGAAAUCGAGGCUCAACCUCGUGGAAGCUGGUAAUACUGUUUUGCUUGAGUGCAGGAGAGGUUAACGGAACUCCAUGUGGAGCGGUAAAAUGCGUAGAUAUCUGGAGGAACACCGGUGGCGAAGGCGGCAUCCUGGACCGGCAUUGACGCUGAGGCGCGAAAGCCAGGGGAGCAAACGGG